AUUGAACGCUGGCGGCAUGCCUUACACAUGCAAGUCGAACGGCAGCACGGGAGCAAUCCUGGUGGCGAGUGGCGAACGGGUGAGUAAAGUAUCGGAACGUGCCCAGUCGUGGGGGAUAACGUAGCGAAAGUUACGCUAAUACCGCAUAUGAUCUAUGGAUGAAAGCGGGGGAUCGAAAGACCUCGCGCGAUUGGAGCGGCCGAUAAUAGAUUAGGUAGUUGGUGGGGUAAAGGCCCACCAAGCCGACGAUCUGUAGUUGGUCUGAGAGGACGAACAGCCCCACUGGGACUGCGGCACGGCCCAGACGCCUAAGGGAGGCAGCAGUGGGGAAUUUUGGACAAUGGGCGAAAGCCUGAUCCAGCCAUGCCGCGUGCAGGAUGAAGGCCUUCGGGUUGUAAACUGCUUUUGUACGGAACGAAAAGGACUGCCCUAAUACGGUGGUCCCAUGACGGUACCGUAAGAAUAAGCACCGGCUAACUACGUGCCAGCCGCCGCCGUAA
RNAcentral lists this ribosomal RNA (500 nucleotides) under uncultured bacterium. RNAcentral describes it as "partial 16S ribosomal RNA". It matches the Rfam family "Bacterial small subunit ribosomal RNA", at positions 30 to 523 of the family's 1533-position model. The record is from RNAcentral.